Molecule: ribosomal RNA, 532 nt
Filed under: uncultured bacterium
Lineage: Bacteria
Description: bacterial SSU rRNA
Rfam family: Bacterial small subunit ribosomal RNA
Source: RNAcentral
ACAUUGGAACUGAGACACGGUCCAAACUCCUACGGGAGGCAGCAGUGAGGAAUAUUGGUCAAUGGGCGAGAGCCUGAACCAGCCAAGUAGCGUGAAGGAUGACUGCCCUAUGGGUUGUAAACUUCUUUUAUAAAGGAAUAAAGUCGGGUAUGGAUACCCGUUUGCAUGUACUUUAUGAAUAAGGAUCGGCUAACUCCGUGCCAGCAGCCGCGGUAAUACGGAGGAUCCGAGCGUUAUCCGGAUUUAUUGGGUUUAAAGGGAGCGUAGAUGGAUGUUUAAGUCAGUUGUGAAAGUUUGCGGCUCAACCGUAAAAUUGCAGUUGAUACUGGAUAUCUUGAGUGCAGUUGAGGCAGGCGGAAUUCGUGGUGUAGCGGUGAAAUGCUUAGAUAUCACGAAGAACUCCGAUUGCGAAGGCAGCCUGCUAAGCUGCAACUGACAUUGAGGCUCGAAAGUGUGGGUAUCAAACAGGAUUAGAUACCCUGGUAGUCCACACGGUAAACGAUGAAUACUCGCUGUUUGCGAUAUACUGCAA